RNAcentral lists this ribosomal RNA (218 nucleotides) under uncultured bacterium. Its description in RNAcentral is "partial 16S ribosomal RNA". It matches the Rfam family "Bacterial small subunit ribosomal RNA", at positions 99 to 334 of the family's 1533-position model. The record is from RNAcentral.
CGCACGGGUGCGUAACGCGUGGGAAUCUGCCCUCAGGCACGGAAUAACUCAGGGAAACUUGAGCUAAUACCGUAUAAUGACUUCGGUCCAAAGAUUUAUCGCCUGAGGAUGAGCCCGCGUCGGAUUAGCUAGUUGGUGAGGUAAAAGCUCACCAAGGCGACGAUCCGUAGCUGGUCUGAGAGGAUGAUCAGCCACAUUGGGACUGAGACACGGCCCAA